GCAAACUUGGUCAUUUAGAGGAAGUAAAAGUCGUAACAAGGUUUCCGUAGGUGAACCUGCGGAAGGAUCAUCAAAGAGAAAAUACGUAUACACUUUGUGUGCACCUAUCGAAGGACAAAAAUGAGAAAUCCUAACCCUUUUUCUCCAGAGGAAGAGGCGGAGGAUUCUUAUUUUUUUAAUUUACCAAGUUUUUAUUAUUGUAUUUGUAUGAUAAAUGAAAUAAAAAAACUUUCAACAACGGAUCUCUUGGUUCUCGCAUCGAUGAAGAACGCAGC
Molecule: unclassified non-coding RNA, 275 nt
Filed under: uncultured fungus
Lineage: Eukaryota; Fungi
Description: partial contains small subunit ribosomal RNA, internal transcribed spacer 1, and 5.8S ribosomal RNA
Rfam family: Eukaryotic small subunit ribosomal RNA (bases 1-73)
Source: RNAcentral